CAGAGGGGGCGAGCGUUAUUCGGAAUUAUUGGGCGUAAAGGGCGCGUAGGCGGCUUUGCAGGUGACGGGUGAAAGCCCUCGGCUUAACCGAGGAACUGCCUGUCAGACUGUGAGGCUUGAGACCGGGAGAGGUGAGUGGAAUUCCCAGUGUAGCGGUGAAAUGCGUAGAUAUUGGGAGGAACACCAGUGGCGAAGGCGGCUCACUGGACCGGAACUGACGCUGAGGCGCGAAAGCGUGGGGAGCAAACAGGAUUAGAUACCCUGGUAGUCCACGCCGUAAACGAUGAGUGCUUGGUGUAGCGGGUAUCGACCCCUGCUGUGCCGAAGUCAACACAUUAAGCACUCCGCCUGGGGAGUACGGUCGCAAGACUG
Molecule: ribosomal RNA, 372 nt
Filed under: uncultured organism
Description: bacterial SSU rRNA
Rfam family: Bacterial small subunit ribosomal RNA
Source: RNAcentral